ACGGUGAACACGGAGCUUGCUCUGUGGGAUCAGUGGCGAACGGGUGAGUAACACGUGAGCAACCUGCCCCUGACUCUGGGAUAAGCGCUGGAAACGGCGUCUAAUACUGGAUAUGUGACGUGACCGCAUGGUCUGCGUUUGGAAAGAUUUUUCGGUUGGGGAUGGGCUCGCGGCCUAUCAGCUUGUUGGUGAGGUAAUGGCUCACCAAGGCGUCGACGGGUAGCCGGCCUGAGAGGGUGACCGGCCACACUGGGACUGAGACACGGCCCAGACUCCUACGGGAGGCAGCAGUGGGGAAUAUUGCACAAUGGGCGGAAGCCUGAUGCAGCAACGCCGCGUGAGGGAUGACGGCCUUCGGGUUGUAAACCUCUUUUAGCAGGGAAGAAGCGAAAGUGACGGUACCUGCAGAAAAAGCGCCGGCUAACUACGUGCCAGCAGCCGCGGUAAUACGUAGGGCGCAAGCGUUAUCCGGAAUUAUUGGGCGUAAAGAGCUCGUAGGCGGUUUGUCGCGUCUGCUGUGAAAUCCCGAGGCUCAACCCCCGGCCUGCAGUGGGUACCGGCAGACUAGAGUGGGGUAGGGGAGAAUGGAAUUCCUGGUGUAGCGGUGGAAUGCGCAGAUAUCAGGAGGAACACCGAUGGCGAAAGCAGAUCUCUGGGCCGUAACUGACGCUGAAGAGCGAAAGGGUGGGGAGCAAACAGGCUUAGAUACCCUGGUAGUCCACCCC
Molecule: ribosomal RNA, 725 nt
Filed under: Microbacterium oxydans
Lineage: Bacteria; Bacillati; Actinomycetota; Actinomycetes; Micrococcales; Microbacteriaceae
Description: bacterial SSU rRNA
Rfam family: Bacterial small subunit ribosomal RNA
Source: RNAcentral